Non-coding RNA from Xyrichtys novacula (pearly razorfish), 246 nucleotides. NCBI's taxonomy places the organism in Eukaryota, Metazoa, Chordata, Actinopteri, Labriformes, Labridae. The record is from the annotation of a GenBank genome assembly.
GGGUUAGGGUUAGGCUUGGAGCUAGGGUUAGGGUUAGGGUUAGGGUUGGAGUUAGGGUUAGUGUUGGAGCUAGGGUUAGGGUUGGGCUUGGAGCUAGGAUUUUUCUGAGUGCACUGAACCAACUCCCGAGUCUCUAGGACAUUCCUAAAAAAAAUUGAUUUUUUUCCCAUAGGAAUGCAUGGGUUAGGGUUAUGGUUAGGGUUAGGGUUGGAGCUAGGGUUAGGGUUGGAGUUAGGGUUAGUGUUG